RNAcentral lists this ribosomal RNA (507 nucleotides) under uncultured bacterium. RNAcentral describes it as "bacterial SSU rRNA". It matches the Rfam family "Bacterial small subunit ribosomal RNA", at positions 37 to 518 of the family's 1533-position model. The record is from RNAcentral.
UGGCGGCGUGCCUAACACAUGCAAGUCGAACGGGGGUUUUGCUUCGGUAGAACCUUAGUGGCGAACGGGUGAGUAACGCGUAGGCAACCUGCCCCCCGGAUUGGGACAACACCCCGAAAGGGGUGCUAAUACCGGAUACGAAGAUAGCACCGCAUGGUGAUAUUUUGAAAGAUGGCCUCUACAGGUAAGCUAUCGCCGGGGGAUGGGCCUGCGUCCGAUUAGCUGGUUGGUGGGGUAACGGCCCACCAAGGCGACGAUCGGUAGCCGGUCUGAGAGGAUGAACGGCCACAUUGGGACUGAGACACGGCCCAGACUCCUACGGGAGGCAGCAGUGGGGAAUCUUCCGCAAUGGGCGCAAGCCUGACGGAGCAACGCCGCGUGAGUGAGGGUAAAGUUUUUCGGAACGUAAAGCUCUGUUGUACAUGACGAACGUGCGAUCUGUCAACAACGGAUGGCAGUGACGGUAGUGUACGAGGAAGCCACGGCUAACUACGUGCCAGCCGCCGC